CUAGUGAGUGCCACAUGUCAU
RNAcentral lists this non-coding RNA (21 nucleotides) under Arabidopsis thaliana (thale cress). Lineage: Eukaryota; Viridiplantae; Streptophyta; Magnoliopsida; Brassicales; Brassicaceae. The record is from RNAcentral.